AGACCCGAAACCCGGUGAUCUAGCCAUGGGCAGGUUGAAGGUUGGGUAACACUAACUGGAGGACCGAACCGACUAAUGUUGAAAAAUUAGCGGAUGACCUGUGGCUGGGGGUGAAAGGCCAAUCAAACCGGGAGAUAGCUGGUUCUCCCCGAAAGCUAUUUAGGUAGCGCCUCGUGAAUUCAUCUCCGGGGGUAGAGCACUGUUUCGGCUAGGGGGCCAUCCCGGCUUACCAACCCGAUGCAAACUGCGAAUACCGGAGAAUGUUAUCACGGGAGACACACGGCGGGUGCUAACGUCCGUCGUGAAGAGGGAAACAACCCAGACCGCCAGCUAAGGUCCCAAAGUCAUGGUUAAGUGGGAAACGAUGUGGGAAGGCCCAGACAGCCAGGAUGUUGGCUUAGAAGCAGCCAUCAUUUAAAGAAAGCGUAAUAGCUCACUGGUCGAGUCGGCCUGCGCGGAAGAUGUAACGGGGCUAAACCAUGCACCGAAGCUGCGGCAGCGACGCUUAUGCGUUGUUGGGUAGGGGAGCGUUCUGUAAGCCGUUGAAGGUGGCCUGUGAGGGUUGCUGGAGGUAUCAGAAGUGCGAAUGCUGACAUAAGUAACGAUAAAGCGGGUGAAAAGCCCGCUCGCCGGAAGACCAAGGGUUCCUGUCCAACGUUAAUCGGGGCAGGGUGAGUCGACC
This 682-nucleotide ribosomal RNA is filed under the name Salmonella enterica subsp. enterica serovar Apapa. RNAcentral's name for it is "partial 23S ribosomal RNA". It matches the Rfam family "Bacterial large subunit ribosomal RNA", at positions 711 to 1389 of the family's 2925-position model. Lineage: Bacteria; Pseudomonadati; Pseudomonadota; Gammaproteobacteria; Enterobacterales; Enterobacteriaceae. The record is from RNAcentral.